AUCGCCGGGGAGCGGAGCGCGUCCGGCGGCGAGUGUUGCACAUGCAGAAGAUGGCUGAACAAUUCCCAUUCUCUCAGCCUCUCCUCACAGGAGAUGUGCUUCAUACCUCUCAUCAACUUGGUGGCCCUUCUUUGGAUUUGCUCCAACAGGCUUUGAUUCAGCAAAGCACUUAAACAUGUGCCUGAUCUCAAUCCCAUCAAGUAGUCUCAUGGUAGCCAAGUGAAACAAGCAUGUGGUAAUGAAUAUGUUUAAGAGGACAUGUGCAAUUGUUUUGCCUAUAAGCACACAGGAUAGAGGUUGAAAUAUAGGAGACCAUUUUCUAAUAUGCUAUGAAGAAGAAAUACUUCUGAUGAAAUAGGACUAUUAUACUUGCCUUCAGACUUGGAGAAUAGAUUUCUGCUAAACAUAGUGAAGUGCUGGUGUGCUAUCACUCUGGAGAUUCUCAAGGAAGAGUGAAAUCCCUCAGGAGAAAGAUAAUGGUCACCAUAACUGCGAUGUUUAUGGCUGUUUCUCAGAUUCAGUAGCAUCAGAUGGCUGUGUGUGAGCUUCAGGGUGGCACCAUCAUAUUACAAGAAGUGAAAGAUAAAGAAAAGAAGAGCUGGUUGGCUGAGUUUCCCAUGCAACUUCAAGAAGAGUCAAGCCUCUUUUAGCUCACCAGCGACAAAGGCAUACGUGCAAAGUUUUUAAAAGAGCAUAGGCUGCAGUGAAAGCUGGAUGCUACCAGCACUAGGUUCUUCUCUUCCUCUCUGUCUGAGUAAAACUCAGGUUAUGACUUGCUUUCAACAUCCUGUCAAGAUCUGCUAAGUUCUUUUGUGAUCCAGCCUUUGCAGCUGUGCUGCACAAGGUCUUUUAUCAUGGCUUGUGCUGUGUUGCAGACCCAAAAUAUACCUGUUGUGCUUAACAGAUACUGCAAAAACCAUUGUCACUUCAAAGAAGAUCUCAUUUCUGACAGCAAGGAGAUGAAGCCAGUUAUUUCAGUAACACAGCUUUCAGAUCUCAAAUUUAAAGAUUUCUCAAAAAAUUUGGUUGAGCCAAUUUUCCUCUUUUAGACUAUGCACUAAAAGUCUGCUUUUUGGAAGACUCUUCCCACACCAGCUGUCUUCUGCUAUAUCACUGCAGCACUGGCUGUGGUAGGCAUGCUGGGAUGGGAAAGAGAUGUCAAAUAGAGAGGAGACAGAUAUGCACAUAGGAGAACUGAACUUAUCAGUAGUGUAUGGCAAUUAAAGGUAUCUUAAGACACACCCAGUGAUUACAGGAAGAUGGAUGUUUCUACCAUAUUUCCCUGUGAGAUGAGUGUAUGCUUUGAAAUUUCUGGUAGGAAAGAAAGGCAGCAGCAAUAAAGUUAGCACACAAACACCAUCUGUGAAAGCCAGAAAGCAUCUAUAGAUCCUCUGCAUGCUAAAGGCUUAUUACAUCAUGUAUGAGAAGGGAUAGAAAAAACCCAGAAAGAGGAAGGAGAUAGGGAAAUACAGAGUAAGCCUUCCCCCACCUCCCCAAAAGAAGCAUGAUAAAGCUAAGAAGUAAAUAUGAAUUAAAAAAUACUGUACAGACCAUCUGGACACUUAUAUGUUACUGCCAUACAAAUCAUAUGCAUUUUCCAUGUUGUGUAGAUAAAAUGAAUUAUUGCCAAUUAACACAAAGCUUCAGCCUGAGGCACUAUCCAUGCAUAUGUAAAAACUACAUUUAUCCUGAAGACACAAUUUAAAUAGAAAACCUGUAAGAAGGUUGCACUCCAAACAAGGCGGGAAUAUGCUGCGAGUCAGGAGAAUUUUGCUGGAAAUCUGUAAAACACAUCUAUUGCCUACAGAAAGGAGCAAUAAUAAACCCCUCCAGCUCAUGCUCCUUGCUUGGUACCCAAUCUUUAAGUCAGUUCCCUGGAUUCCUCUGUCUCUGCACAAUAAACAUCACUUAACAUAUCUAUUUUCUUCCCACUGUGCUCUACUCCCAGUACACACCAGCAGGCAACACCUGAAUUUACAGGAGAACACAAAGGCAGAGUCAUCUAAGGUGAAACUUUGAUUAUCCCAGUGGUAAGUUUCCAUCAUUUCACCCAACUACAAUGACUCCAGCUCUCUGGGACAUUUCUCUUCCCAGGGCCACUCACUUUUCCUCCUGUGUUAUGCAAUAUCAGUAAAAAAAAUUAUACUACAAGGUCAUCUCUGGUGCUGUUGGUUACAAAUUUCUCAGUGGAGGUGGUCAUUGAGGAGGCUUUGUUAAGCUGCCAUAGCCAGAACAGCUCUCCCCUCCCCACCUUCUUUUUUUUUUUUUUUUCUCUAUACCCUCCACUCUGCUGCUUUAUACUUUACAUAUCCUCUAAAGACCUCUCAGAGUGUAAUUUAAUUGCUGCUGGGGGAAGAAAAGUGCCCAUGAAUGGAAAAUUCUACUUUCUGCUCUUUCUAGUAGACCAUAGCAGAUAAUAUUUUUCUCUGGAGACUUCUUUUUAUUUAUUGAUAGAAGGUAUCCAUCUCAACUCACCAUUUCCAUGCCUGUACCUUCACUUGUAUUUUUCAUUUUGAGCACUUCAUAUACAUGCUGCUAACUGUGGAUUGCAGUGUUACAUGGUUUUAUCCCUGUAAUGCCAUGAUGAAUUGGGAAAUGUCACUGUACUGACUUUAUAGGCAACACAUUAAGCAUCAAUACAUUGUGAGCUCAAGCUUGUGGAAAAGCCAUUCAUUACAAAUGUGCUAAUUCUCUAUAAGCAUGUGCAAAGCUUGUCCCAAAUGCAGCAUAACUCAGAUCUGGCUUUUCCUGGGAUGGUUCUGUAACAUACUUAAAAAUAACAGAAAGAAAUUAAAUGUUACCUUCUUUUACUAUAUACUAAGUUUAUGUUAAACAUCUACCCAUUUUUGUUGACUUAAUUUUUAUAACAUUUUACCCUAGUUUUUUACUAAUUUUCCCAAAUUUACAAUGAAAAAUAUAGCAAAAAAUAAAUGGAAACUUAUUUAUUUUUCUUUUAUCUUAGGCUGACUGAUGGAAUAUCUUUGCCUUCAUUUCUUUCAGUAUUUUUGGAUGUGAUUCUUGAUUUAAUAUAGCAUCUUUCAUGCUUAGGCAUCUCAGAGAGUGUUUAACAAAAAAAAUAACACCACAUCUGCUGCAGUGUAAUUCAAGGUGUGUAGGAUUGAAAGGAUAGAGGAAAGCGUGUUUCAAAAGGACAGAAUGAGAAAAAGAGGAAUGCAUUAGCUAUCAUUUUUACUUCAAAACCUUGUGUUUCAGAACCAUGAGGUGCAGCAAAUUACACUUAAACUCAGCUAUUAGUGUUGAUAUAAGAGAUUCUGUUGUGACAACAUUGGAGUAAAUACCAUAGGUAUAUUCAUGAAUAUAAAAUUUGAUAUGUAGCAAAUGCCUGUUUAGGAACAAACCUAAUGUCAUUAUAGAUUUUGGAAAUAUUGGCUGACAUAUUUGGCAAUGCACUGUCAGGAUGAAUUAGAUCCCACCUUUACUCACAGAACGAUCCUGUCGCAAAUAGAAGAAACUAUCUUGCUCUGUUGCAGACUGCAACCCAUUGUCUGUGCCUCAAGGGUGGCAAAAGAAUGACCCAGGCACAAAGAAACAUGUCAUGCCAAAGGUAAACUGAUGCUGUGCGCAACACUGUUAAAAAGUAUUUCUCAUUAUUGGUCCAAAAUACAACGGACUUCAUUCCCUUUUGUCUAGUUUUGGACUCUCCACCCUGAGUAAACUCACAGCACACAUCUAUGCCAUGCCUUCAUCUAUUUCUAGUCAGCUUUAUAUUUUGUAAAGUAUCAGUUUGGGCCUACCACUUUGCAGUCUUCAUUAUUUUUAACACCACAAUAUCUCAAAAAAAACCAAAAAAAAGGAAAGUGGAAGUAACAGUACAAUAAAGCACACAAUAAGUUUGGACACGCUUCUUUAGAUUUUAAACAACAAAAUAAAACAAAACAAAACAAAACAAAAAAAAACAAAACCAAAAACUAAAUACCACAAAACAAAACAACAAGAAGAAACUUAUUUAGGGACACGCUUCUCUCCAUACAGCAGAUGAGAAGGGUUUAGGAAUUGAAAAUGGGAUUCAAAACUAUGAUAUAAAUCAGAAUAUUAAGUCAGAAUAGGUGUGAUAAAAGUUGAAGUACACCUGAAAUUCUGUUCCUCCUGAGGAAUUCGAGUAUUUAUCUCACAUUGUACUAAGAUAUAUUCAGGAAUCUCAGUCAAUGGCUCAUACAGAGAUUUUUUUAUUCUUGCAGAAAUCCACAAAGGAAAAUUUAAAAUCCCAAAGAGCCUAAUUAAUUAUGAAAUUUGCUUCUUAGCAAAAAUUAAUAAUUAAUCAUACAUCCUUGCUCAGGAAAAUCAUCGGUAACCAGGUGCAUAAUUUCUUGUUUAGCUGAAACAUGAAUGUUGGGAACCCGGAAUUGUUUUGAUACAGGGCGUUUUGUUAUACUCGCUUCAUGCUGAAGUUUUAAUAAUAGUAUAACCACAGUAAUUACAUAGCAACUGCUAAUGUGAACAUAACACAUGUAAUGGAGAGACUUGUAUAGCCUGUAGAAAUUAGGUGCCAAGGGUGGGGUUUGUCUCAUCUAAUUUUAGAGCUCUAAAGUGUUCACGUCUGUCUGCAAGCUGGUCAUCCUUAGACUUUUCAAAAGAGGAAAACCAGUAUUCCUUGAUAUACAGCUGACCUAUUUCAAAUUUCUGCUUUGAGACAGUGUGAACUGUACCCCAAAAGUCCACCAUCUCUCUCCAGAGAGAUGAGGGUUUAGCUGGGAUGUAGAUGCACGUGCUAUAGGCAUUUAUAUUUAACCAAAAUGUGGUCUACCUGCAUUGCAUUAUCUGAGUUUAUUAGGAAAUCCUUUGUAAAAAUCCCAAAUACAUAAGGGCAAUAAGUAUUAAAAAUUUAUUCCUUGGAACACUCCUCUAGGCAAUAUUUAUAGUUACUGUGCUGUCAGUCCCCUGGCAAUAUAAAGUUAUGAGAAAGGAAGUGAAGCACAGAGCAGUCUGUGGAGAACAAAAUUUAAGUAAAUAUGAAUUUUUUCUGGAGUAGUGAUUCAGAAUCUGUUGUCCCAGAAUCUGAAACUCGUACGGCAAUUUUAGACUGGUUUAGUUAGGCUUGAAACUCACGAAAACAUUCCAUUUUGUUCAAGGAAAUCUAAAUCAAAUGCUAGUCAUGAAAUAUCUUUGCAAAGUGGGAUUUAGGAAAAUUUCCUCUUGUUACCACAAAUAAAAAUUACAUGCAAAAUUCUGAAAGAAAGCACAACUGCUUUUUCCUAAAACAAUGUCACCAGGGCAUAAUUGAUGUUAUCUUUUCCAUGACAACUUGAGGGAUUUUUUUUUUUUUAAUUGUUUUAUCAGCUGUAUUAUUUUUCCUUUCUAACUUACUGACUUCUACAGUGAAAGCUGAGUUCUAGACAUGAUGCACAACCUGUGUAUGUAAAUGACAAUGGAUUAUUGUUGUUCUUAUUUUCUCUUUCAAAGCUGAAAAUAUUUUUUUAAAAAAUCAAUAAAAUAUUUUAAAUUGUUUGACAUAACCAGCUUCAUAGGUGUUGUAAUUAAAAUCCUGGUCAGCACUAGAUCCUCCAGAUGUUAUGAUUAGUUCUGUGAAUUGGCCUAGUCUGGGAAGUGUCUCUGUAUAUUGGCCUUCCUCUUCCAGGACAGGUUCUUUGUUUGAACUAUACUCAACAUUUACAAAAAGAAAAAUUUUGGUAUCUGAUAUCAGAUUGCUAUCAAUGAUGUCAGAGACAAAUAUGAUUGAAGUAACUCAGACUCAAUAUUUUGCCAAUAACAUUGCUGGUAUACACUCUGCAGUACAUCUAGCAUCUGAAGCAUUUGAAAUUCCUUUACUACCAAGCUUAAGAAUUUGCAGACUUGAAGAGCAUCUUUCAGAUGUGGGAUCUGUGCAUAGAUUCAGUUCUUCCAAUCUUAUUUCAAACAUAUAUUGCAUUUUUUCUUCUUCUUGUGAGACAAAGACACUUUGUAAUAUGAAAAAAACAAUUCUAAAACAACGUUAUUAUUCUUAAGAAUAGAAUUUAGCAGAGUAUAGUUGUAUGUAAGCAACCAUUUGUCUGGGUUUGGCUUCAUUAUUUUGGCUUUUGCAUACAACUUAAUAGAGUUCAAAACUUUUCUGUUGGCUGCUGCCUUCCUUUAUGUGCCAAAAGGAAUGUCUUUAAAUGCAACAAAAACAAUGGAGAAAAUUGAAGAUUGCUAUGAGCCAAAUCACAGCUAUAUUCAACAUCAUCAACAAUAAAAGUUGAUGUCUGAGAAACGUCCUUUUUUAGGAUACAUGAUGGUUUAGUGAUUAGGAGAGUACUCACUUAGGAAGUGGAAAACCUCCUUUUGCCUGGAGGGAUCUCUUAUGACAGCUCUCACACAUCAGCCUUUUCCUCCCAUGAAUUGCAAGGUGUUAUUAAGCCACUUUACAAUUCUUGUUGAAGCUGGACUGCUGUAAACCUGGAAAAGCAUGAGCUGUGAGAUCAGUGAGAAAGACUGAACCAAAGAGUGUAAAGAGGGCCCCUUUGCAGUGAGAGAUAUUUUUUAUAUAUUUUUUUUUUUCAUUUUGGUUAUAAGUUUAUUUCUAGUUUUAUCCAGGGACAAUCUACGAUAUAAAAUACUUAAACAGUCCCUGGAACAGAGAUCAGAACUCCAGAUAUUUCUUUGUUAAAUUAUAUAGAAUAAGUCAGUAGACCAUCAUACUUCACUUUGGUGUCAUUAAAUGUUAAAAGGAAAGGCUUGUGCUAUGAAUCUGACUUGUACUGAGGAAUAGAUAUGGAAUUCAAGCUGAUGUUCAGAGAACAGAGAAAUGAUAAACCUGUCUAUCUGCAUAAUUCUGACUUGCUCUGCACCAUCAUAUGAACAAUACAGAUCAUAUGAGAAGAGUGUAAUGACUCCUGUACUAAUGUGAAAUUUCCACAAAUAUACUCAUACUAAUUAUGCAAAGCAGUCAUAUCUUGUUAUUGAUAGAUGAAUUAAUGAAGUUCGAAAAUUUGUUCUGUAAUUAAUUUCCACUAGCCCUCAAAUAAUUUUAAUAGACAUUCCCUCCAAUUUUUCGUUUUAUAAAGAGUAAGACUUCAACAACAUCCAAGCAUGGUCUCAGUAUUGAUGAGAGGAGACAAGAAAUUAUUGCUUCAUGUCUUUUCACCACUACCCUGUUUAAUUUUUUUAGGGAUUUAUUUCAUUGAUUUUCUUGCUGGUGCAUCAGUGAAAAGGCUCACUAUUUUUUUGAUUAUCACCUAUCAUCUUCUCAUCUCUUUCACAGCAAUUUUUGUGUUGGUCACUUUACUCUGUAAAUGUGGUCUAAAUUAUUUAGUUCAAAACAAAUUAUUUUGUCUGUAUUAAUUUUUUUACCAUUCUUCUGAAUGUAACUGAGUGAUGAAAACUUGCAUUCGUACUAUGAAAGUCUGGAAAGCUGGGAUUUGACUAAUUACUAAAGGAAGUUGCAAUUAUGACAAAAAAGAGUGCUGCUCUGGAAUGAAUAUUCGUGUUUGAGACACAUUACAAAUAUUUCUUAUGUCUUCUGCCUACAGUUUUGGAAUAGACAAAAUGCUGGUAUGUCUGUUUCUAUGGCUCUUGUGUAGAUGCGUUUUCAGUUUAUCCUGCCUGUCUUCUCACCUAUUCUUCUCUGUGAGGAAAACAUAUAUCUGCUUAAAGUGAAUAUCUUAA
This is a long non-coding RNA of Taeniopygia guttata (zebra finch), 7602 nucleotides long. The record is from Ensembl. NCBI's taxonomy places the organism in Eukaryota, Metazoa, Chordata, Aves, Passeriformes, Estrildidae.